GACGAACGCUGGCGGCGUGCUUAACACAUGCAAGUCGAACGGACAGGCCCUGCUUUUGUGGGGUGCUCGAGUGGCGAACGGGUGAGUAAAACGUGAGUAACCUGCACUUGACUUUGGGAUAACAUCAGGAGACUGGGGCUAAUACAGGGUAGGAGCUCCUGCUGCAUGGUGGGGGUUGGAAAGAUUCGGCGGUUGGGGCUGGACUCGCGGCUUAUCCGCUUGUUGGUGGGGUAGUGGAUUACAAAGGCUUUGACGGGUAGCCGGCCUGAGAGGGUGACCGGGCACCAGGGGACUGCGGUACGGCCCAGACGCCUACGGGAGGCAGCAGGGGGGAAUAUUGCACAAUGGGCGGAAGCCUGAUGCAGCAACGCCGCGUGCGGGAUGACGGCUUUCGGGGUGUAAACCGCUGUCGCCUGUGACGAAGCGUGAGUGACGGUAAUUGGUAAAGAAGCACCGGCUAACUACGUG
This 468-nucleotide ribosomal RNA is filed under the name uncultured bacterium. Its description in RNAcentral is "partial 16S ribosomal RNA". It matches the Rfam family "Bacterial small subunit ribosomal RNA", at positions 28 to 507 of the family's 1533-position model. The record is from RNAcentral.